Unclassified non-coding RNA from Orbicella faveolata, 3457 nucleotides. NCBI's taxonomy places the organism in Eukaryota, Metazoa, Cnidaria, Anthozoa, Scleractinia, Merulinidae. The record is from RefSeq and is a predicted model, not a curated record.
UGCUAUUCUUUUGCUUUCUAAAUAGUGUUUUAAUUUCCUGCCUUAGCGCCUCACAUCGUUUGCGAUUUCGCUUCGAUUUCGUUUUCGAUGCGGCUUCACCUAAAUCCACCCCAAUGGCCAAGCCGUGUUUCUACAAACACGAUCAACGUUCACAAUUAUCACAGACCAAGAUUUACAAUUUCGCCUCUGCGAAAUGACAACUGUUUCGAGGGCCACUAAAAAAUAUUUUGCGUAAACGAGUGGUGAAACAUUUUCAGCUGACCGAAAUCAAUACGAAUCUGAAAGAUGGAAACAACAGAUAUAUACGAAUUGUGAUCUAUUUUGAAUAUAUUACUGAUCUUCAACAGACUGUAAUUGCAUCAAGGAGGGGGCUAACAGACCUUGACGAAAAGUAUUCCUUUUGCGGAAGAAAGUUAGUUAUGUUUUCCCCGAAUGAUCAAACGUUGAAGAUGAGGUUGAAAUCGCUGUGAGAAUAUCUUGGCAAAUCGGAAGUGUUAUAAUCCGCGCUUUUGUUGAUGGAGUUCGUUUCAUGUUCUGCUUUGGUAGUAGCGUGGUGACCUGACGAACGGAGUGUGGAAACACGGCGUUUUUUUAAUUAACAAGGGAUUUUUAGAGUUUAAAACAGUCGAAAAUUUGCAUGUUACAUUACUCUUUUGCCCAAAAUAAUUACUCCUAAAAUCUAAAAGCAGCAGAUCGGCCGUGGAGUAUUUUUUGCAAUAUCAAUCAAGCGGUUAGCCUAAAAGCUCGAUGAAAGCGAAAUUGGAGACGUAUUUUUCCAGUUUUAGCUACAAUCUGCCAUUUGUUUUGUUUUUUUGUUUUUUUUUUUAUCAUUUUAUUUUUUAUUGCAAGAUUGACAGCUCCACUCAUUACUUCAUUUUAUUAAACAGCAGUGUUUUUAUUUUUUCUUAACUAUGUUAUACAAACUUAAUGUUGUGUUAUCACAUCAGGCACGGAUUUCAUUCGUUCAAUCGAAAUUAUGAAUAUUCCCCAUGCGUCGAAAGCGCCAGAAUAGAUAUUUGGAUAAUUCGCGGAACAAUUUCUGCUCCAGCCCUCCCCUGUUAGUACCACUUCGCGCAAGUCGGUAUCGGGAGUAAGUUAUAGUUCGCAACUCGAAAACAUCGGUCCAAUAGUUUGUUCGUAAUUGGCGUACGAUGUCCACGGAGAAUAAACGACCGGCCCUGGUGAAGACAGAGAAGCGCAGCUUUGAUGAUGCCCAGAGUCGUUUAAAAUGCAGAAAGCUUCUUGGAAUCGGAGGAAAGGAACCUUCGAAGGUAUGUAUUAAAUAGGACGCGUAGGAUACGGUAAUAAAACGGCCGGGUUAUUUUUUUCGCGCGCUUUCGAAACGCAGCCUCGUUGUUACAAUGUACUGUCGCCGUGCGCUCACCGCACUUUGAAUAAGUUUCCUUUCUCAUUAUAAUAUUCAUUUGUCAAGCUGUAAAUCCUGACAUGGGUCUUGCUUUGAUGAUUACUUUGGCCGUACUGGCUCAGCUCAACCGAAGAAAUUUUCAUUCCUCGUGCACUUUCCAAAUCUCAAGCGAACGUAAUUCGCUCGUUUGUGCUAAGAGAAGAAAUGAUUUUUUUGUUGUUGUUUUUUGUAUUUUUCUGUCCUUUUCCAUUCACACAAUGACCUUGUCAGAGGCUAUGAGUGUUUGACAGAACUUUUGCUUUUGAAAUGACUCUCCGAAUAUUAGUAUCAGAUUAGAGAACGUUUUCAAGCGUGUUUUCUUACGUUUUGUCUAAGGAAAAAAAAGGCCCGUGUUCGCUAACUAUCGUCGCCGCUACGGCAGCUGUAUUCAUGAUUUUCACCAUAUCGCUUGGGGUUUCAAGCUGUACUUGAUUACAUUAUUUGUUCUCUGAUAAAUGAGAAUAUUGCUGUGCAUUGGCGGCUUGUGAAUAAAUUCACCAGGAUGUACGAGAGUUUAUUGUUCUAAAUAUUAUUAUCAUUUUGCUUUGAAUAGAGCAUGGCGUUCUCUUCAAGGAACCCCGUGCUCGAUCUGUUUCAAGAUUUCUCAAAACUGCAGGAAGACCCUAUAAACUGGCUAACAAUAGCCAAACUUUUGUUUGGUAAAUAAUGUUACAAACUUCUUCGAUGUUUCGCAUGUGUCAUUAACAUGUUGUCGAGAACAUUAAACCAAAACCGCGAAUUUUGAACUCAAUGCGCCCAAGUUCAUAACCAGUGUCUCGCAAAGAUUUUCAGCCAGGUUAAUAUGCAUUCAGGUUUUUAAUCGAAAAAAGUGACAGCGCAGAAUUAGAAAAAGGCCAACUAGCGCAUCCUAUUAAGCUAGAAAUACAUAAAUAUACAAUUGUUUUACUUUCUUGACAUCCCUUGCCUUUGUGUGUUUAUUUUUUUUCCCCUUGCAGUACAGUUUCUUUAGAUCAAAAGCCUGAAAUAUUUACAGCUUGUCUUUUCUGUGACAUGGCUGUCGUUUUUUUUUCUUAAUCUAGACUAUCUUACUUAGUUUAAUGUCUGAAAAUUUUAAGUUUCAAACUUUAAAAAAAAUGAAAACAGGAAAUCUUGGUUUUCGUCCGGUUUGACAAUGAGUGAAAUUUCAAUUUUGUAUCAAAAGAGAGCUUUUAAGAGAGCUUUUUAUAGCUACCAAACAAUAGUACAUUUCUUUUUGAAUUGCUAACUAAUAACUCUGUCUUUUAAUUCAUGGACAGAGAUCACCCCAGGGCAGAUAUGAGAUAAAAAGUGCGAUUUUGUCCCACAGUUUUUUUAUUACUUGUCGAUAAUAGUAUUUAUUUUUUUCUUUCAAACCGGAUUUCUACCUUUUACCUUUUGUCUCAGCGAUGUAAAUCUCUUUAAGUCGAUCGCUGAUUGAAGGUCUAAGUAAUAAUUCACAUUAGUGAUUCCUCUUGAAAGUGGUGUUUACGGCCACUUAAACCUGCUUAUGUACUCGCCAAAGCUUUCGCAAAGGUGUGCUUUCAGCCGUGCGGUUUUAUUUUGUGUUUGUGCCACCUUGAGGUUUAGACAGAGAGUUGACACCUUGAUUAUGCCUGUUUUGUGUUGACACUGUAUUUACGUAGCGAUACGUCUGUAUACACGGCUGUAGUUCUUUUAAUGACGAAGUUCAUUUGACUUUUUGAUGCCAAAAAUCGCUGAAAUGAUCUGAAUUCAAACAAAGAUAUCACUCACACCUGCUAACGACCGUAAACCCCAACAUUAUCAUGUUUUGAGAGAAUCAUAGCGCCCUCUGUUGGGAAUUUCCUAAAACGGUUGAACUCGUGGAAUUCGUUAACGCGUUUGCAACUAACGAAGUUUCGCUUAUUUAUGUUGGCUUUUUUGUUGUUGCGUAUUAAACAUUAGUUGGCUUCACACCUGAAGCAGUAAGCAGUUGACUCAAGUGCACUUGAAAAUCUCAAGUCGCACUUUAAUUUAGAGCUUAGCACCUGAUGGCAAAGAGACAAACUAACUUCCGAGUUAGGAUUUCGAGUUGGAUUUUCGAGUUAGGAUUUC